UUGUUCAUGUAUUCUAGAGGAAAAGAAAGGAAUAUCAUUAUAUACUGCUAAUG
Molecule: non-coding RNA, 53 nt
Filed under: Pongo abelii (Sumatran orangutan)
Lineage: Eukaryota; Metazoa; Chordata; Mammalia; Primates; Hominidae
Source: RNAcentral